AAUAAAUGAAAUGUGUUUAAAUAUUUUAUAAUUGCAUAUUUAGUCUAAUUGUUAAGUGAUUUAGGAACGGUUCGUAGUGUGGAAAAAGUCCUGGGUUCGAUCUAGGGCUUUAGAAAAAUUUUGCAUUUUUUUUCUAAAUGAGCCAGAGCAAUAAGCCUGGUAAAAUCUGUCACAUGGAAACGCUUGGCCUAGUGGCAAAGGGCGUUGAUAGCAAGCA
RNAcentral lists this long non-coding RNA (217 nucleotides) under Gossypium barbadense (sea-island cotton). RNAcentral describes it as "long non-coding RNA (GBAR_LNC000519)". The record is from RNAcentral. Lineage: Eukaryota; Viridiplantae; Streptophyta; Magnoliopsida; Malvales; Malvaceae.